GACGAACGCCGGCGGCGUGCUUAACACAUGCAAGUCGAACGGAAAGGCCCUGCUUUUGUGGGGUGCUCGAGUGGCGAACGGGCGAGUAACACGUGAGUAACCUGCCCUUGACUUUGGGAUAACUUCAGGAAACUGGGGCUAAUACCGGAUAGGAGCUCCUGCUGCAUGGUGGGGGUUGGAAAGUUUCGGCGGUUGGGGAUGGACUCGCGGCUUAUCAGCUUGUUGGUGGGGUAGUGGCUUACCAAGGCUUUGACGGGUAGCCGGCCUGAGAGGGUGACCGGCCACAUUGGGACUGAGAUACGGCCCAGACUCCUACGGGAGGCAGCAGUGGGGAAUAUUGCACAAUGGGCGGAAGCCUGAUGCAGCAACGCCGCGUGCGGGAUGACGGCCUUCGGGUUGUAAACCGCUUUCGCCUGUGACGAAGCGUGAGUGACGGUAAUGGGUAAAGAAGCACCGGCUAACUACGUG
Molecule: ribosomal RNA, 468 nt
Filed under: uncultured bacterium
Lineage: Bacteria
Description: partial 16S ribosomal RNA
Rfam family: Bacterial small subunit ribosomal RNA
Source: RNAcentral